GUGACGAGCGGCGGACGGGUGAGUAAUGUCUGGGAAACUGCCUGAUGGAGGGGGAUAACUACUGGAAACGGUAGCUAAUACCGCAUAAUGUCGCAAGACCAAAGUGGGGGACCUUCGGGCCUCAUGCCAUCAGAUGUGCCCAGAUGGGAUUAGCUAGUAGGUGGGGUAACGGCUCACCUAGGCGACGAUCCCUAGCUGGUCUGAGAGGAUGACCAGCCACACUGGAACUGAGACACGGUCCAGACUCCUACGGGAGGCAGCAGUGGGGAAUAUUGCACAAUGGGCGCAAGCCUGAUGCAGCCAUGCCGCGUGUGUGAAGAAGGCCUUCGGGUUGUAAAGCACUUUCAGCGGGGAGGAAGGCGAUAAGGUUAAUAACCUUGUCGAUUGACGUUACCCGCAGAAGAAGCACCGGCUAACUCCGUGCCAGCAGCCGCGGUAAUACGGAGGGUGCAAGCGUUAAUCGGAAUUACUGGGCGUAAAGCGCACGCAGGCGGUCUGUCAAGUCGGAUGUGAAAUCCCCGGGCUCAACCUGGGAACUGCAUUCGAAACUGGCAGGCUAGAGUCUUGUAGAGGGGGGUAGAAUUCCAGGUGUAGCGGUGAAAUGCGUAGAGAUCUGGAGGAAUACCGGUGGCGAAGGCGGCCCCCUGGACAAAGACUGACGCUCAGGUGCGAAAGCGUGGGGAGCAAACAGGAUUAGAUANCCUGGUAGUCCACGCCGUAAACGAUGUCGAUUUGG
This 736-nucleotide ribosomal RNA is filed under the name uncultured Enterobacteriaceae bacterium. RNAcentral describes it as "SSU rRNA". It matches the Rfam family "Bacterial small subunit ribosomal RNA", at positions 88 to 820 of the family's 1533-position model. The record is from RNAcentral. Lineage: Bacteria; Pseudomonadati; Pseudomonadota; Gammaproteobacteria; Enterobacterales; Enterobacteriaceae.